Molecule: ribosomal RNA, 248 nt
Filed under: uncultured bacterium
Lineage: Bacteria
Description: partial 16S ribosomal RNA
Rfam family: Bacterial small subunit ribosomal RNA
Source: RNAcentral
AGGGUGCAAGCGUUAUCCGGAUUCACUGGGUUUAAAGGGUGCGUAGGUGGUCCUGUAAGUCAGUGGUGAAAUCUCCGGGCUUAACCCGGAAACUGCCAUUGAUACUAUAGGUCUUGAAUUUUCUGGAGGUCAGCGGAAUAUGUCAUGUAGCGGUGAAAUGCUUAGAUAUGACAUAGAACACCAAUUGCGAAGGCAGCUGGCUACAGGAACAUUGACACUGAGGCACGAAAGUGUGGGGAUCAAACAGG